RNAcentral lists this transfer RNA (70 nucleotides) under Marmota monax (woodchuck). RNAcentral describes it as "tRNA.Ala". The record is from RNAcentral. Lineage: Eukaryota; Metazoa; Chordata; Mammalia; Rodentia; Sciuridae.
GGAUUGUGGCUUAGCGGUAGAGCGCUCGCCUAGCACGUGCAAGGCCCUGGGUUUGAUCCUCAGCACCCCA